UAAUGAAAAUAAGUUACGAGAGCACUUCGAAAAUUAUAACUUUCCCAAAGUUUUAAGCGAAUAAACCACCACAAUCAAAUAAGUUAACACCGCAAUUUAGGUGCAAUUUCGCACGGAUAUCAAAUUAUUUAUUAAAUAUCAAGCGUAAUAUAUAUUACAGGAACUGAUACUCGCCACCCAACUCUCAGCGAAAUAUUUGUGUAUAAAUGUGAAAUAAUUCAACUGUGCUACGCAGAUAUUAUUUUUGUUGAUUAAUCGUUCAAAGUGAUCUUGUGGAUGCAGAAUUGCAGAAGUUAAAAAGUGUCCCAAUGUGAAACCAAAUGU
This is a long non-coding RNA of Rhagoletis pomonella (apple maggot), 324 nucleotides long. RefSeq lists it as uncharacterized. NCBI's taxonomy places the organism in Eukaryota, Metazoa, Arthropoda, Insecta, Diptera, Tephritidae. The transcript has 2 exons. The record is from RefSeq and is a predicted model, not a curated record.